This 390-nucleotide long non-coding RNA is filed under the name Drosophila guanche. Lineage: Eukaryota; Metazoa; Arthropoda; Insecta; Diptera; Drosophilidae. The record is from RNAcentral.
AUGCUUGCUAGAUUGGAACACAGAACCAUGGCUGUCACCAACGUCAUGCGGUUGUGUUUCUUUUGUUGGGUAAGCUGUUCCUGUUUUUUGGUUGUGGAACUCUUAUGAAUACUCCAAAUGCUAGCUGGUGCUCUUAAUGUGCUCUCAGUUGGCUGGUGCUGGAAAGUUGCGGCAUGUACGCGCCCACGAUGGCUUCCACAACAUCGAGAGAGAGGCAGCCUGGCGGCAUUCGCCACGUCGGAGGGCGCAUCAAGCAAAAAAUCGCCCGAAUAGUCAGGGAUGAUGAUUCGUAUUCGCGAAGGUUGCAGCUACAUGCGAUCGUUAGAAUCAGAAGAUCAAUUAAUAUCAUAUAAAUAAAUGUAUACAAUAAAAACAAUAGAAAGCUGAAAA